Homo sapiens (human) is the source of this 3770-nucleotide long non-coding RNA. Ensembl annotates it as PAXBP1 antisense RNA 1. Its record names the gene PAXBP1-AS1. NCBI's taxonomy places the organism in Eukaryota, Metazoa, Chordata, Mammalia, Primates, Hominidae. The record is from Ensembl.
GGGAGACCACGCCCACUCUGCGCCGACCGGCUGGGCCUGGCACCCGCGGGCGGCCCCAGCCUCAGUCUCCAGCUACCUUUGCCUCCUGCGGCCGCCCCCAGGCAGAGCUGCGAUCCCACCGCCGGGGGUGCAGGGAGAGGGAAGAUCUGGCCUCCUUGGUCCUUUUGCGUGGGCUCUUCAGAGCGUGAGCGCCGGGGAGGGACUCCGGAGAAAAGCUUGGGGGGCUGCGUAUUGCUGCUCCCCAAGCUGGGCGUCAGGACCAACCCCGCCGCCCCCACGGGCCUGACGGGAGAGGAGGAAGGGCUCGGGACGGUCGGCUCGCCGAGCCAACCAGGUGGCGCCUGAAGAGCUGUCCAUGGUGUCGACAGCCCAGCAAACGGCACCGAGUUCCUAGUCUGAGUGUCUGGAUAGGUAGCAGAAGAAAAACUAAUGCCUGCUCUGGGACAGUUCUGUUCGGUGCCUUUUCUUGUGUGUUCUGGAGCUCACAGGGUUCUAUCGAAGAGUGCUUAGGUGUAUACGAUGGAGAGUGGGACGUCACAAACCAGGAUCUCAAGGCUGAGUCCAACAAAACAUGGCCGUAGGGAGGCCACGACAGCUGUGGUUGUCACCGACGGAUGAAUAGCUUUUGCCAACCGUGGAAUUUAGUAACUAAAGGCACCUAACCCUUUUAUCUCAUCCUCAUUUUUCAACAAAUGGUGCUUCCUGGCUAAUAUCAGCGUGUCCCAUAGAUUUCUGCUUCCAUUGAAUAGACCUAAUAAGAAAGAGAAUGAAGUCAAAGCCAACAGGGCAGAAAGAAAUUGAAAACCUGAAGAACCCAGCACUCAAACUGUCUCCACUUGCGUUUGCUUUUUCUUUACCUCUUCUCCUUCUGGUUUUCAACAGCCAAAGCAGGAUUUAAAUUUGGUUAUGUUGCAAAAAUCAUUUCCCUCUUCAGGCCCUGUCAUGUGACUUGAUUUUUUCGUCCAUUUUAGAGAAGCUGUACCCACCCUGGUUUCAGGACACGGAACUAAAUUUAUUAGAAAAGAAGCCACUUCAAGUCAUGAAGGAGAAACACAAAGAUUCUUGGAUUUAGUUCUAAGAACUAGAGGGGAUUUCUAUGUCAGUACUGUCUCAGAAAAAACUGUUGAUAUCAAAUGUGUUGCUUGAGAAGUACCUUUUUUUUUUUGAGACGGAGUCUCGCUCUGUCCGCCCAGGCUAGAGUGCAGUGGCGCGAUCUCGGCUCACUGCAAGCUCCGCCUCCCGGGUUCACGCCGUUCUCCUGCCUCAGCCUCCCGAGUAGCUGGGAUUACAGGUGCCCACCACCACGCCCGGCUAAUUUUUGUAUUUUUAGUAGAGACAGGGUUUCACCGUGUUAGCCAGGAUGGUCUCGAUCUCCUGACCUCGUGAUCCACCCGCCUCGGCCUCCCAAAGUGCUGGGAUAACAGGCGUGAGCCAUCGCGCCCGGCCGAGAGGUACCUUUUAUGACAACUGAAAUCAUUCAGUUUCAAGAGGAGUUGGGUACUGAAACCAAACUUGCUUACUCCAAAGCCCAAAAUCCUUUCCACCAUGCCUGUGUGUCUGUAAGGCUACACUAGAAAUGCUUCCUUUCUUAUAGUGGGAAGCAUGGGUACUAAGCUCUUUUACGAACAAGUGUUCUGCAUAUUCCUGGUUCCUUUUUAUUUUGGACUGAGGAGAUUUAGGUCAAAAUUUCUGGGUUCUGGGUUGGAAUUCCAGCUUCUUUCUUCAAAUUAAACUGGGGGGUAGCAAGACUUAUUCCUAGAUUUGUUAGAAGGCCACAGCUUUUCCACAUCUCAUUUUAGUCAUGAAAAAGACACAUGCCCAGAGUUUGAAAAACAUAAAGGCAAUUUGACUAGUGGCUUGAUUGGUUCUAUCUUCUUUUUCUUGUCCCUCUUUCCUAUUUAUACUUCUACUUUUGUUACAGCAUUUGACAAUAGUUGGAAAAAUUUUCACUGACCUUGAAAUGUCUUUGGGAUAGGGUGACUUAAAAUAUAGGUUAAGUGGCAUACACAAACUUCUUAGUGAGAUCCUAAGGGCCUACAGAGACAGGCUGACACCAACUCAACCCUUGAAACUGUGCAAUGAAGAGCCUGUGGGAGGCUAAAAAACGCUACUUCAAAAAGAGAUCCUUGUCUGUGAAUGUUAAUUUAGGUUUACAGAUUUGAUUAAGGGUCUUGAGAUUAUUUUCAAUUAUCCAGGUGGGCCCUAGAGCCCUAGAUGCAAUCAUAAGUGUCCUUAUAACAGGGAGGCAGAGGAAAAUUAAACACGCACACAGGAGAGAGAGAGAGAGAAAAAAAAGUGAUGUGAAGACAGCAGCAGAGAUUGGAGCGAUGUGGCCAUAGCCAAGCUAUGUCAGCAGCCAUCAGAAGUUGGAAGAGGCAAGGAAGGAUUUGAGCCUAGAGCCUUUGGAAGGAGCAUGGCCCUGUUGGUUCUGGCCUCCAGAACUGCAAGAAAAUACAUUUUUGUUGUUUUAAACCACCCAGUUCAUGGUAAUUUGUAACACCAGCUACAAGAAAUUAACACAAGGCUGAUGUGACUUUCCAUCAGGAGAGAGACAGCCCCAGCCACCCUGUGAAGACGUGCCUUUCGUCAAGAUUGUAAGUUUCCUGAGGCCUUCCCACCCAUGCGGAACUGAAAAAAUCUUCCUGUGACUUCCUACAACUUUUGGGAUAAGGACCAAAGUAUUUCAAAUGACCUACAAGAUCCUCUAUCAUCUGGACUAUGGACUUACUUGCUCACUCCAGCUGUCCUAUGCUUUCUUCAGCGCCUCCAGUGUAGCCUGCUCUCUUUCACCUCAGGGCUAACUUCUAUUUUUUCUCCAGGUCGAAUGAUCUAAAUAUCACUUCCUCAGGGUGGAAGGAAAUCUUCUGGGACUAGCUAGUCAAGGUCUCUGUGCCCCUUGUCAUAUGUUCCACAUUACCUUGAAUGUCCCCUUUCAUAACUCAUCACACCUGAGAUUACCUAUUUGUUGUCAACUGUGCUGGACUGUGAACUCCACAAAGAUUCCACUUCUAGCUUACUCAGUGCUAUAUCCCCGAACCUCAGAAGAGUAUCUGCUACAGCAGUACUCCUUAUCUGUGGUUUCAGUCAGCUGUGGCACAGUACAAUAACAUAUUUUGAGAGAGAAACUACAUUCAUAUAACCUUUACCACAGUAUAUUAUUAAUAACUGUUCUAUUAUUAGUUAUUGUUAAUCUCUUACUGUGCCUAAUUUAUAAGUUAAACUUUAUCAUAGGUAUGUAUGUAGAGGAAAAAACAGUAUAUAUAGGGUUCGGUACUAUCUGUGGUUUCAGGUAGCCACUGGGCAUCUUAGAACAUAUACCCCAUGGAUACAGGGAGGACUACUGUAGUCUACUUGCUGAAAAAAUUAAUUGUGGCUUAGUCAGGCAUUUCGUUGAGUACGAUGGACCUUACUUUGGAACUCAGAAAUCACUUUCUCCUGUGAAAAUAUCAAACUUGAAUGAACUUUUGGAAUAAAAUACUUUGUAAAAUGGAGAUUUUGGGUAUAGAUAUAAAUAGAUCUAAGCCUAUGGAGUUAAUAAAAAACAAAACACUCUAAAAAAUGUAAUAUAUGAAGUCAAACGAAAUCUGAGUCUUUUAGAUAGUCUAUGGACACGUACCUUAACUGAAGACCAAAACUGUCGUUGAAAAAACAAGUAAGGCCCAGAAUUUUUAUUUUCUAAGACACUAAGUAAAAAAAAGAGAAACAUAUCAUGAUCAGAUAUUUUAUAUGUAGGUGCCAUAUGAUUCCUGGACAAAAGAUUUUUCUACAAA